GAGGUUGAGGAAUAGAGUAGUCGAAAUCAUCUGUUUCUAUGGGUAUUUCUUGAUUUUUUGCUUUUCUUUUCUUCUCAUUUGAAGGGGUUUUUCAAUCACUUUUCCAUUGAUUAUCUCAAAUCUCAUUCCAACUAAUACUGUUUUUCCUAUUUUUGUUACGUCUUCUAUGUAAUCUUCUUCUCUGAAAUUGAAUUUGGUUUUUCCAUAAUCUUUGUGACCAGACUUAUGUAACGUAGAAAUACUUCAUUUUUCUUGCUUCGUGUCAUAUACUUGAUUACUUGAUCUUCCCAGUUUACCUUAAUCUCUUUC
RNAcentral lists this long non-coding RNA (309 nucleotides) under Lathyrus oleraceus (garden pea). RNAcentral describes it as "Pisum sativum (pea) long non-coding RNA (PSAT_LNC019595)". The record is from RNAcentral. Lineage: Eukaryota; Viridiplantae; Streptophyta; Magnoliopsida; Fabales; Fabaceae.